GCCCCAUCCUACCCCCCGGGGGCCAUGAUUUGAACAAUCUUGAAUCUUCACUAUGUCAGAACGUUUUCUUGUAAAUAUCAGCUUUUCUGACUCAGUGGUUAUUGAGAAAAAGAUUUUAACUAUAUAUUUGUAUGUAAAACUUUGACCCCCCUUGUGGCCUCAUCCUACCCCCAGGGGCCAUGAUUUGAACAAACUUGAAUCUGCACUAUGUCAAAAAGUUUUCAUCUAAAAAUCAGCUUUUCUGGCUUAGUGGUUCUUGAGAAGAACAUUUUUAAAGUUUUUCCCUAUAUAUUUGUAUGUAGAACUUUGAUCCCCCCUUGUGGCCCCAUCCUACCCCCGGGGGCUAUGAUUUGAACAAACUUGAAUCUGCACUAUGUCAGAAAGUUUUCAUGUAAAAAUCAGCUUUUCUGGCUCAGUGGUUCUUGAGAAGAAGAUUUUUAAAAAAAUGUCCUAUAUAUUUGUAUGUAAAACUUUGAUCCCCUAUUGUGGCCCCAUCCAACCCCCGGAGCCCAUGAUCUGAACAAACUUGAAUCUGCAUUAUGUCAGGAAGCUUUCAUGUAAAUCUCAGCUUUUCUGGCUUAGUGGUUCUUGAGAAGAAGAUUUUUAAAGAUUUUUCCUAUAUAUUUGUAUGUAAAACUUUGAUCCCCCCUUGGGGCCCCAUCCUACAACCGGGGGCCAUGAUUUGAACAAACUUGAAUCUGCAAUAUGUCAGGAAGCUUUCAGGUAAAUUUCAGCUCUUCUGGCCCAGUGGUUCUUGAGAAGAAGAUUUUUAAAUGACCCCACCCUAUUUUUGCAUUUUUGUGAUUAUCUCCCCUUUGAAAGGGACAUGGCCCUUCAUUUGAACAAACUUGAAAGCCCUUCACCCAAGGAUGCUUUUGGCCAAGUUAGGUUGAAAUUGGCCCAGUGGUUCUGGAGAAGAAGUCGAAAAUGUGAAAAGUUUACAGAGAGACGGACAGACAGACAGACGGACGCCGGACAAAAUGUGAUCAGAAUAGCUCACUUGAACCUUCGGUUCAGGUGAGCUAAAAAGGGAAAGUAGUGGCAGUCGACUGCUGAGAGCAUACAGUUCAGAACAAGUCGUGCAUCCAUUAAGCAAGUCAAAGUGAAGGCAGCUAGAGUUGGGUACCGCAGAAAAUAAAUGUACCGCGCGGGUAUACCGUGGUAUUUGCAAAAUACCGCGGUACAUACCACGGUAUACCGCAGAUUUAAUCUUUUAAUUUUAUGAUUCAAUUUUAGUGGAUUUUAGUUGUGAUUUAUUGUUUAUAUAAUAUGUUGACGGUGCUACCGUUUGAGUGAGCGCGGCUCGUAUGUAUAUAUUUUGUAAUGUUCAUGCUUUGAUCGGGUUCAAUACGCCAGUUUCGAGAUAAGAACUCUUCUGUGUAGGAGGUGCAUUUAGUGGAACUUUUAAUGCCAAAGUGGGACAGAGUGGACCUACAGUCCCUAGGGAAUGACAAUGAAAUGUAGUAAAAGCGGCUUCUCUUUAAGUAUGUGAAUGUAGGAAAUGCAAAAUACUAUUGAAAGAAAUAUUUUACUAAAGUGGAAACAUAAACAAUGUCAUAUUUACAAGUAACUUCCAGGAUAUAAUAGAGGGCGAAGCUCUCUCACGGCCCGAAGGUAAGGUAACACGUAUAUACAUGUUUAAAAGGAAAAUAAUGAAAAAUUAAACCAUACCUAUGGAACUUGAAAAGUUUGGUACCAAUGGCGUCGAUUCGAAUAUUAGCGCGUGGACAUGUAUUCCUCCAUUUUGAAUCUCGUCUACCCUAGUUCACGUCGUUCUGAGAUGUUACAUAAAAUCCGUAAAAGCAUGUAAAUCUUAUUUUCUUAAUCAUAUAUAAUCACUCCACGAUUAAUGCCAUGUUUUUUGUUGUGGUUCAAACGCUAUGUUUGUAAAUUUGCUAAAUAACGACGCUGAAUAUGACGUAACAAUGUACUGUUUACAUCAAUUGCGUUAUAUUUCCCGCAUUCAAUAUAUAGGCGGAUCAAAUGUCCAAAAUUAAAAUGCUUUGAUACAGCUCCGUCCGCGUGCUAACUUCGGGUUGUUUUUGUCCUGUUUUGGAUAUAGAUAAUAAUGCCAAAACUUUUUUGCUUCGCCCUCAAACACGGUCACGCCGUAAAACAUAUUACGUACAAGCAAUGAAAUAACGUGAUAUAAUAAGAAUUCCAUGUAUUUAAUUACUACCUGAAUACUUAUCAUUUACUUAGUUUGUGUAUCAGUUGAAUUUGGGUGUUGAAACUGCGUAUACACGAGAAACUUGCUGAGCAGAUUCACUUAUGCAACACUGAAAAUGUCCCAAACCCGCAUGUAAACAAAUUGUUUCGCGCCUUAUUAUGUACGAGAGUUCUCCAAAGGGAAAUAACUCGGACGUAUCUCGAAACUGGCGUAUUUAAACAAUAUCUACUUGCCAAAUACUCAUGACAUGGAUUUUCUCCCAGGGUUUAUAUUAAAAAUCAUUAAAACGUGUAUACAUGAAUGUGAUUGAAAUAUUUUUAUGCUAUACAUUGUACAGUACCCGCAACGUUAUUCUUGACAUGAUAAACGAUAGAACACGAUACACGCACGAUAGGAUAGGAUACACGCACGAUACGAUAGGAUACACGCACGAUACGAUAGGAUACACGGUAAACCUGAUAAACGCAAAACCUGAUAAACGAUCUUCACGAUAGACCUGAUAAACGCAAAACACGAUAAACGAUCUUCACGAUAAACGGAAAACCUGAUAGAAAUGUUGUAAAUUUAGAAACAAUUUAGACAGAACGAAAGUUUGAUACGUACAAAAUAAUUUCAUUAUGUUGAUAAUAAUAUUGAAGGAUUUCAAUACUUAAUAUAUACCUAAAGCAUAUAAUGUAAUUAUCCACGGUUGUACGUUUAUUUUUUUUAAAUUCUAUUUAUGUUUUCUUUAACGUCAUUACAGCUAAAAUCCGGAAGCUAAACUAUAUACGGUAUUGAAUUCAUUAUUUGAUAUCUAUAUGAAUUUUCUCAGCCAAUGAUUCUAAAACGUAUAUUGUCACCUUGAAUGUUUAAUAUAUGAAUCAUAAAUGGAGUGAUUGAUUUUUAUCUUGCUUAACGUCACCAUGACCGGUGAAGAGCUUUUAAAUUUAGGCUUAUGCUCGGCAAUUACGGCCAUUGAGCAGUGAGGGUUUUUUAGCGUGCCACACCUACCGUGACACGGGGCGUCUGUUUUUAAGGUCAUCUCCGAGGACCCGUGGUAUUCACACUUGAUACCGAGUGUUUAGCAAUUAAACAGGGAAUUAACAAAAUGGAAUAUAAUGUAGUGAUAUCAUGCUUCAAUAGCUCUCUUAUUCUGUUGUCUAUUAUCUUGGAUAUCAAAUAAAACUAAGUAAUAUUUUGUGUGUAGCGAGGAGGGGGGUUAUUUUGCAUCAAGCUCUGAGUUCACCGCUCUUUCAACAACUACAAUUAUUUUCAUAAUGACCGCUUUAAAUUCAAUCCACUGCACUACACCAUAUGCUCAUAUGUUAGAUAUUUCUACACUAUGAGUAAUAAUUGAUAGUCAUAAGUAAUUGGAACAUAUUCAUAUGAAUUGAUAUUUUGUUAACAAAAAAUAAAUAAACUAUUAAAAACAUAAACGAAACCCGGCUUGAUUUAAAGUCGCAAUUUAGAAACGCUUUAAAUUAAAUGUUUGUGUUUAGCAUGUAAAAAAAUUCAAAUAAUCAUCAAAACCGGCAUACAUUUCCAGUAUCUACACGUACGACUAUUGGUAUAUGUGUACAUGUACAAAUAAAAAAAAAACAACGAUGACAGCUGAAUCGUGCCCAAUUGAGCAGAACUUUGGGAGAUGCAAUAUACCCUUGCACUCUUUUAAAACUUAAUCUUCUAAAUGUGUGAAAUACAAUGCCCCUGAGAAUGUUUACUGUCAAAACACGGGUGAUACACAAAAUCAGAUAGAUAAGAACGCGCACAAGUUCAGCAGUUGGUAUAUAAGUUGAAUACAGGUGAACAAAAUCGGAAGAAAAAGAACCAUUAUUAAAAUAUAUGUGAUAAACAAUGUAAUUUACUGAUUUUUCCUUUCAGAUCGGAACUUUCUAUUUCUCUGUUAGUGUUAAUUACAAAUUAUUGUUUCUAGACAAGGAACUGUUUAUGAACUCCAGAUGAAGGAGCUUUCAGUUUUAUUGUCCUCGGUUUGCUCGGCAAACCACUGCCUACUUUCCAGACAGAAUGACAUUGCGAUAAAUUUUCACCCUCUCUGGACAGACAUAUAGCUCUUUUUCUGCUUUAAAAUCAACAGCUUUAUGUUCUCCUUCAAAUAUACUGUCUUUCCUCGAUUCCUAAAAAUAGCUUCUUUAACAAAACGAAUAAAGCUUUCGGAAAGUAUCUUACUUUUUCAUUAGAUUUAAUAUACGAUCCCGAUAGUUUCCGAAGCUACACGAUAAACGAUUUUCACGAUAAACGGAAAACCCGAUACACGCAUAAUACGAUACACGAUAGACCUGAUAAACGCAAAACACGAUAGAAAACGGAAAACCUGAUACACGAUAGGAUAGGAUACACGCACGAUACGAUAGGAUACACGCACGAUACGAUAGGAUACACGCACGAUAGAACACGAUAGGAAUGUCAAGAAUAACGUUGCGGGUACUGUAUAUACAUUUUAUUUCUGCUGCCUUCACUGUGACUUGCUUAACCUUUGAUGCACGAAUUGUUCUGAACUGUAUGCACUCAGCAGUCGACUGCCUCUACUUUCUUUUUUUUUUUACUCUCAAUCUUUUCAAGUUACUAAUUGUAUGAUAAGAAUGCCCAAACCUUUCAAGAUGUUUGUUUGCCACUACUUUCCUAGUAAAACUAGAAUUAAUUAAUGAUUUUUCAGUCGUUAUUAGCACGUGGCAUGGUUGGUUAUCAUGAGGGAGAUGGGUCAUCGUGGUUUGCAUUACCGGUCAUGUUAAAAUUAAGGAAAUGGAUCCAAGCACUCGUUAUUUUUAGUCGCGGAAAAAAAAGCAAACAAAGAUUUUUUUAUAUAAAAUUUCAAUCCGACCAAAUCCCAUCGAUUUUUUGUAAUUUUUUAAAUAACACUAAUUCAGUACCUGUGCUCACUCACAUAUUCUAACAAUUUAGUUAGUCUCCCCUUUUCUUGUUAUUGAGAAUUUAGUAUUUUAAUCAGAUUUGUGAUUUACAGUCGAUGAUACACAAUUUGUAUUCGAUGUCCCAUUACGUAUGCCUAAUGUUUACGUAUAUUCAAUAUAAUGUCCCGGUAGUAUGACUUUUACAAAUGGAAAUAACAAGUACGUAUUUAGAUCCGCCACUGUCAGUCUUAUUAUGACGUACGUCAAAACGUAGACAUGACGUUACACAUCAUCUUAGCCUGCCUUUCAUAAACAUUGCACUUCAUUAAACAUUUCGCCUAUAACGGUGCACUGAAUUUUGGAGCUAGGAGGCCACAAGAUUAGGAUGAUAAUCAUAUACCAAGAUGUGACUUUGCGAGAUCUAAGCCAUUUUUGACAAGGGACUCACAGGCACUUGUUUCAUACAUGUGUCCCCCUCCUUAAUGAUACCACAAGGUACCUAACUAGAUUUCGGACACCUCUCGCUUCAAGUCUCAUUUCACGAAAAAGAAGUUUAAACGAAAUCUUUUUUUAAAAACAGAGCUCAAUUACUUUUAUGUUAGUCCUACAUAGCCCCAAAAAUUAUAUUAUUCCAUAAAAUAAUUACUAUUUAUUUUUCACACACAGUAUAUUUUAUAUCCAUAAAAAAAAAAUUGACCGUAGAUCUCAAACCGGAAGUUGUUGUAGUAGAUGAAGCGUCUGAAAAUGUUAAACGGUAGAAAUCGAUGAAUAAAUAAGUAGUUUACAGACAUGGGGCUUCGUGUAAGGUACUGAAAACGACAUACCAGCAAGGACAAUGUCUAUUAAAGCGUCUUAUAUCACAAAAGUGAGGAUGAAUAGCGAACUAAUCGUAAAAUGAGACUUGAAGCGAGAGGUGUCCGAAAUCUAGUUAGGUGCCUUGUGGUAUUAUUAAGAAGGGAAAACCAUGUAUGAAACAAGUGCCUGUGAAGGGGCUUCUGGGAUUAGCGUCAUUUUUUUUUUCCUUGUUAGAGGCUCGCAGUACGGCUUACUGCGCUCGCUAUAAUAGACUGUUUCACGAUAACUUUCGCACAUGCGCAUAACUACUUCUAUCGCUAUAUUUAACUAACGCCUUUUAUCGUACGAAGUACAUAUUUCAAAAGAGGAAAAUAAAUGGUUUUUAUGUGAAAGUGUAUGUGUUUUACCUUUGACAUGUAUUUUGGGGUUCCGAUGUUGCGUUCUGAUAACAAUUGAAUAAUAUAUUUUUAGAAAUAAAAUUUGAAAAAUGUGCAUUGAACUUGCUACCCCAUAGGUAUACACGGGAACUUCCGUGUUUACAUUGACAACAAAAAUGGCAAACCGGGAGAUUUAUAACACAAAAAGAUGAAAACCGUCAAUGUUCCUAUGGCUGAAAUACCGAUAAAGUUAAAAAUGUAUACAUGUGAAGGAGUCAUCCCAGAUAUUUCAGGCAAUGAUACCCCCCCCCCCCCCACAUACAAACACACUGUACUUCAUAUUUGACACUAUUGUCAGAUGCCACGCUCAUAUCGUCGUUUAAAGAAAUUUAUAGACACAUGAUUUUGAGACUAACGGAAGAAGGGGAACGGAUAGAAAACCACAGAAGACUAGAAAAGGUGUUACAACACUUUGAAGCUGACCAGUGAUUUGUCACAAAUAAUGACAGUACAGGUAUCAAUAUCAUUAAUCAAUAUUUUUAUAAUUAUUUUACAUAUAGGUCUAACAUUUUUUUUUUAACACAAACAAGAUAUACAUUGACCCACGCAGUGAAUUAGAAAAAAAAAAUUAGACCUUCAAUAUAAAUGUUUUAAAUAUAGAAUUAUUUAUUAUAUUAUCUUGAAUGCUGUUUGUCAAUGAAAACAUUUCACCUAAUAUAUUAUAGUUUAAUGUUAUAGGCCCAGUGAUUACUUAUAAAAAAUAAUGUCUAAUAAAUGAACUACUAAUAAUCUACACUGUACAUGUGUACUUAUAUAUAAAUUAAUAUACAUAUAUACAGAGGCAUACCCAGUAUAUAUUAAUUAUAGCCUAGAAAAUGCCAAACACAGUAAAGUGAAUAAAGAAAAUGAAUUAAAAACAAGAUAAACAAACCACUCACAUAUAUAUCGGGAUUUGAGCAGAACACACAUGUACAUCUAUAAUUAGACUAUUAAUCAUGAUUUUGUUUUUAAAGAUAUGAAUCCUUGGAGUACAUCUGACAGAAUCUUCUGUUUGGCUUCCAUGAAGAAAACCAGGUAUAAAGUGUACAUAUGUUUACCAAAUAGGAAAAACGUAUGCUAUGCAUACUAUGAAUGUCCUUUUGGGUAACAGAUAAGUUUUGAUCUGGAUCAACAAACCUAUUUAUGUAACGUGUAAUAUGGGUUCAAACCACGGAUAAUAAUUUUUCUUAAACGUUUCCUACGUUUCUAAAUGAUUGCAUUAAACUAUAGUUCUAAACAAUGAUAAUAAAUGAAUUUGAAUCAAACACUGUGAUUAUUUCCUUAUUGAUUUAUUAUAGGAUUUUCCUCUAACUAUUCCUUGCCUAGUUUAAUCACUCGUGUUUCAGCCUCUGGUCUGAAACCACUGUUUCAGACGCUGUUUCAAACUACAAGUUUAAACCCUUUAUUUAUUUGAGCAUUUUCUCCCGGGGUAUCUUCUGAAGGAAUAAUGUCUCAAAUGGUCCACCCGCAGUAAUUUGAGGUCCCGCAUAUGAGACAAAAAACCUUACCUAAAUUCUGGAUGUGAGAUACGAUCUUCUCUCUUCUCCGUCUACCAGCAAACUAACUUAAAUGCGCAGAAGCACCUUCAAUUUAUACCUCCGCUCAAUUCUGCUGACUCAUAUGCUAGUCUCCAAAACGUUUGAGACAAUGUACAACACACAAGGAAUAGCUAAUCAUUGACAAGACUUUGAUUGACCCUGAUUGCCUCAUUUACAUAAUCAAAGGAAUUUUCAUUACAUUUAUAAUAUAUUUUGUUCUAAAACUACUGGUAUUUACAGGUACAUUUAACUUUUUAAACUCCUUGGAUUCAAUAUAGUCUAGCACAGUCCUGUAACCAUGCACCAAAACUGAGGAAUGAAUGGGAGGUGGAGUUCAGGGAGAGGAAAAUAAUCAAUAAUAUGUCAUCCUCAGAUCCUGAUAAAAAUUCUUGAUCUGACUAGCUCCAUGCAGGAUUGACAGCUGCUAAGAGUUGUUUCCCAAAACUGAUGUGGAAUAUCCCUGACAUCAUGGAAAGUGAGGUGGAAGUUGGUGUGACUGAGAAUCCUUUAGAAAAAAAAAAGAUGAAAACUCUGAUCUUAUUUGAAGAAAAGUCUGUUUACAAGAAUAAAAAAGACAGUAUUUGAUGAA
Ostrea edulis (European flat oyster) is the source of this 8354-nucleotide long non-coding RNA. RefSeq lists it as uncharacterized. Lineage: Eukaryota; Metazoa; Mollusca; Bivalvia; Ostreida; Ostreidae. The record is from RefSeq and is a predicted model, not a curated record. The transcript is spliced from 2 exons.